RNAcentral lists this ribosomal RNA (292 nucleotides) under uncultured bacterium. RNAcentral's name for it is "partial 16S ribosomal RNA". The record is from RNAcentral.
GGACUACUCGGGUUUCUAAUCCUGUUUGCUCCCCACGCUUUCGCGCCUCAGCGUCAGUAACGGGCCAGUGAGUCGCCUUCGCCACUGGUGUUCUUCCGAAUAUCUACGAAUUUCACCUCUACACUCGGAGUUCCACUCACCUCUCCCGUACUCUAGACGUUCAGUAUCAAAGGCAGUUCCAAGGUUGAGCCCUGGGCUUUCACCUCUGACUUAAUCGUCCGCCUACGCGCCCUUUACGCCCAGUAAAUCCGAGCAACGCUAGCCCCCUUCGUAUUACCGCGGCUGCUGGCAC